CUUAAUCUAGCAGGUAACAGCUGAGGAGGUAAAUACUGCAAUCAAGCAAAUGCCAAAAGAGAAAACCCCUAGAGUUGAUGGAUUUCCAAUUGAAUUCUUCACUACCUAUUGGAAAGAGGUACAAAAUGAUCUCUUAAAUACAGUUUUUUACUUUUUCAAUAGUAGUGUCAUGGAUAAAAGAGUCAGUUGUACAGCUGUAACUUUAAUCCCUAAAGUACCCUCCCCUACCCAUGUAAAAGAUUACAGACCAAUUGCAUGUUGCACAACUGUGUAUAAGAUAAUCACUAAGGUGCUUACAAGAAGAUUAAAGACUGUGAUAGGGGAUUUAAUCAGAGAUGCACAAUCAGUCUUUAUAGAAGGUAGAUGCAUUACAACUAACAUCAUAUUUGCUCAUGAAUUAUUCAAAGGCUAUAACAGGAAGGGCAUAUCCCCAAGAUGUGUCCUAAAAGUAGACAUUAGGAAAGCAUAUGAUUCACUAUAUUGGUAUUUCCUGAAGAGACUAUUGAUGGGGAUGGCGUUCCCUAGUAAAUUUGUAGGUUUGAUAAUGGCAUGUAUCACCACUGUUUUAUAUUCUUUAACAAUUAAUAGUGGCCUCACUGAAUCAUUCCAAGGCAAGAAGGUUAUAAGGCAAGGUGACCCAAUGUCACCUUACCUAUUUGUACUUGCUAUGGAAUAUUGGAAUAGGCUGCUGAAAAAGCUGGGUAGGAAUAAAAAUUUCAACUCGAAACCGAUCGAUCUAGCCAUAAGUAGGUUGAAGAGAGCUCUAACAGGCCUUGGAUGACCGAACCCACGUAUGUGGCAAAAUACGAGGAUGACUUGUGGCUAGGGGUGAAAGGCCAACCAAGAUCGGAUAUAGCUGGUUUUCCGCGAAAUCUAUUUCAGUAGAGCGUAUGAUGUCGAUGGCCCGAGGUAGAGCACUCAAUGGGCUAGGGUGGCCUCAUUUUGCCUUAUCAACCCCAGGGAAACUCCGAAUAUAGGCCUAGAUCAUUUGUACAGAUAGACUUUUUGGGUGCUAAGAUCCAAAGUCGAGAGGAAAACAACCCAGAUCGUACGCUAAGGUCCCUAAGCAAUCACUUAGUGGAAAAGAAAGUGAUAGACCGAUGACAACCAGGAGAUGGGCUUAGAAGCAACCAUCCUUUGAAGAAAGCAUAAUAGCUUACUGGUCUAGCUCCAUGGCACCGAAAAUGUAUCAGGGCUCAAGUGAUUCACCGAAGCGACGAGACCUUGAAAGCUGCUUUUUCAAGUAUCAGUAGUGGAACGUUCUGUCAAUCGGGGAAUGUUUUUGGUGGCAAAACCUGGAGAUAUCAGAAGUGAGAAUGCUGACAUGAGUAACGAAAAAUCCUGUGAAAAACACGAUCGCCUGCCAGUGGAAGGUUUUCUGCGUUCAGUCAAUCUACGCAGAGUGAAUCGGUCCCUAAGGAACCCCCAAAAGGGCCUAGUCUGAUGGGUACACGAAAGUGACAAAGUUGCUUUGACUACAGAACCAUGCCUAUCUGUUGGAGCGAAUUGGAUGAUCGGGCCGAGGGCUGCCCCCUCUUCCCCUCACUCUCCUUUCCCUAAUAUGAACCUUGAGUCAUCAAAGCCUUUCUGACUCGGCCUGGCCCGGUCGCCCUACGCGACUGGCGCUUCAAANUUGACUCGGCCUGGCCUGGUCGCCCUAUGCGACUGGCGCUUCAAAAGGCGAAAAUCUCGAUCGUAGUUUGGCGACCUAUCUUCAGUAGGGGCCUUUAGUCUUUUUAUUAGAGUAGGGGUCGCGAGAGAGCAGAGCGUAUCGCCUUUCCAUAGUAACGAGUCUGUUUAUAGUCGCGACUAUUGUCAUAGUCAACAAGGUUGAAAUUUCCAGGAAAAAACUUUGAAUUGGGAGUGCGGUCCUCCCAGUGAACUGACUGUACCCCAAACCGACAUAGGUGAACAAGUAGAGUAUACUAGGGCGCUUGAGAGAACCAUGUCAAAGGAACUCAGCAAAAUGACCCCGUAACUUCGGGAGAAGGGGUGCUCUCCUAUCUUUUGAUUAGGAAAGCGGCNUGCUAAGUGGUAACAUGAUGUAUAGAGUCUGACACCUGCCCGGUACUGGAAGGUCGGAAGGAGAAUUGUUAUAAGCUUUGAAUGAAAGCCCCGGUAAACGGCGGCAGUAACUCUAACUGUCCUAAGGUAGCAAAAUUCCUUGUCGCAUAAGUAGAGACCUUCACGAAUGGUGUAACGACUGCCCCGCUGUCUCUGACAUGGACCCGGUAAAACUAAAUUCUCCGUGAAGAUAUGGAGUACCAAUGGAUAGACAUUAAGACCCCGUGCACCUUAACUAUAGCUUCGCAGUGACAACCUUAAUCGAAUGUGUAGGAUAGGUGAGAGGUGGUGACACACAACAACCAAUACUGAAAGACCACUCUUUCGUCUAAGGAUGCCUAACCACCACACCGAUCAUUCGUAGAGAGGCGUGACACUACGAGGUGGUUAGUUUAUCUGGGGCGGAUGCCUCCUAAAGAGUAACGGAGGUGUGCGAAGGUAGGCUCAAGCUAAGAUUCUGCUUGUGUGCGUAAUGGUAUAAGCCUACCUGACUGUGAGAUCGACUGGUCGAACAGAGAUAAAAGUUAGCUAUAGUGAUCCGGGAGUCCCGUGUGGAAGGGCUCUUGCUCAACGGAUCAAAAGUAUGCCAGGGAUAACAGGCUGAUGACUCCCAAGAGCUCUUAUCGAUGGAGUCGUUUGGCACCUCAAUAUCAACUCAUCACAUCCUAGGUUUGAAGAAGGUCCCAAGGGUUUGGUUGUUUGCCGAUUCAAGUGGUAUAUGAGUUGGGUUUAGAAUGUCGUGAGACAGUUCGGUUUCUAUCUACCGUUGGUGUUAAAGGGAGAACUACGAGGAGCCAACCCUAGUACAAGAGGAAUGGGUUGGGCUAGCCUAUGGUGUAUCGAUUGUUAUGCCAAUAGCAGCGCCGGACAGCUAAGUUGGUAUGGAAGAACUACUGCACCGUGGGAAAUCCUUCUCUAUACAAGUUCUCGGAUAAGGUUUUUGAACAGAACUUCGAUAGGCGAGAGGUGUAAGCAUCGCGAGGUGUGAAGCGAUCUCGUACUAAAUGAAAUGACUUUCACUU
RNAcentral lists this ribosomal RNA (3086 nucleotides) under Capsicum chinense (habanero). Its description in RNAcentral is "bacterial LSU rRNA". The stretch from base 616 to 3084 matches the Rfam family "Bacterial large subunit ribosomal RNA". The record is from RNAcentral. Lineage: Eukaryota; Viridiplantae; Streptophyta; Magnoliopsida; Solanales; Solanaceae.